Molecule: non-coding RNA, 72 nt
Organism: Phrynosoma platyrhinos (Desert horned lizard)
Lineage: Eukaryota; Metazoa; Chordata; Lepidosauria; Squamata; Phrynosomatidae
Source: the annotation of a GenBank genome assembly
GCCAGUGUGGUAUAGUGGUUAGAGUGCUGGACUACAACUCUGGAGACCAGGGUUUGAAUCCCCACUCAGCCA